UGAGCUUUCAUUCAUCUGUUGCCAAGGG
RNAcentral lists this non-coding RNA (28 nucleotides) under Mus musculus (house mouse). The record is from RNAcentral. Lineage: Eukaryota; Metazoa; Chordata; Mammalia; Rodentia; Muridae.